AUUGAACGCUGGCGGAAUGCUUUACACAUGCAAGUCGAACGGUGACGAGGAGCUUGCUCCUCCGAUCAGUGGCGAACGGGUGAGUAACACGUGAGCAACCUGCCCCAGACUCUGGGAUAACAGCUGGAAACAGCUGCUAAUACCGGAUACGAGACGGAGAGGCAUCUCUACCGUCUGGAAAGUUUUUCGGUCUGGGAUGGACUCGCGGCCUAUCAGCUAGUUGGUGAGGUAAUGGCUCACCAAGGCGACGACGGGUAGCCGGCCUGAGAGGGCGACCGGCCACACUGGGACUGAGACACGGCCCAGACUCCUACGGGAGGCAGCAGUGGGGAAUAUUGCACAAUGGGCGAAAGCCUGAUGCAGCGACGCCGCGUGAGGGAUGACGGCCUUCGGGUCGGUAAACCUCUUCUAGCAGGAGAAGCGCAAGUGACGGUACCUGCAGAAGAAGCACCGGCUAACUACGUGCCAGCAGCCGCGGUAAU
This 482-nucleotide ribosomal RNA is filed under the name uncultured bacterium. Its description in RNAcentral is "bacterial SSU rRNA". It matches the Rfam family "Bacterial small subunit ribosomal RNA", at positions 29 to 524 of the family's 1533-position model. The record is from RNAcentral.